ACAGCAGUCGCCACGGGAAAACCAGCUCUCCGAGUGGUGUGGACGUUUAUUGGGCCUAAAGCAUCCGUAGCUGGCUGAACAAGUCCCCUGUUAAACCCACCGAUUUAAUCGUUGGCGUGCGGGGGAUACUGCUUGGCUAGGGGACGAGAGAGGCAGACGGUAUUCCCGGGGUAGGGGUGAAAUCCUAUAAUCCCGAGAAGACCACCAGUGGCGAAGGCUGUCUGCUAGAACGCGCCCGACGGUGAGGGAUGAAAGCUGGGGGAGCGAACCGGAUUAGAUACCCCCGUAGUCCCUGUCUCUUAUAC
Molecule: ribosomal RNA, 305 nt
Filed under: uncultured bacterium
Lineage: Bacteria
Description: partial 16S ribosomal RNA
Rfam family: Archaeal small subunit ribosomal RNA
Source: RNAcentral